Stylophora pistillata is the source of this 271-nucleotide long non-coding RNA. The record is from RefSeq and is a predicted model, not a curated record. NCBI's taxonomy places the organism in Eukaryota, Metazoa, Cnidaria, Anthozoa, Scleractinia, Pocilloporidae.
UCACUGCAACUGAAUGUGUAGAAAGCCAGUGGGCCAUUCAUUAUAAUCACCAGAGUACAACAGACCUUAGUGUCCAGGAACUGAUUUCAUGUUCUCGGUCAAAAGGAUGUUCAGGUGGCAGUACCUUUCUAGCCCUUAAUUGGUUACAAACAGAGAAUUACACACUUGCUCCAGCUAAAGAAUUCCCUUAUGUGGAUAAAGAAACAACUUGUAAACGCAAUCUUUUGACUGAAAAGGGAGUGAGGAUAAGAUGCGGGUGUUAGGUGCAGAU